CCUACGGGGGGCUGCAGUGGGGAAUAUUGGACAAUGGGGGGAACCCUGAUCCAGCCAUGCCGCGUGUGUGAAGAAGGCCCUCGGGUUGUAAAGCACUUUCAGUGAGGAAGAACGCCUGGUGGUUAAUACCCAUCAGGAAAGACAUCACUCACAGAAGAAGCACCGGCUAACUCCGUGCCAGCAGCCGCGGUAAUACGGAGGGUGCGAGCGUUAAUCGGAAUUACUGGGCGUAAAGCGCGCGUAGGUGGCUUGAUAAGCCGGUUGUGAAAGCCCCGGGCUCAACCUGCGAACGGCAUCCGGAACUGUCAAGCUAGAGUGCAGGAGAGGAAGGUAGAAUUCCCGGUGUAGCGGUGAAAUGCGUAGAGAUCGGGAGGAAUACCAGUGGCGAAGGCGGCCUUCUGGACUGACACUGACACUGAGGUGCGAAAGCGUGGGUAGCAAACAGGAUUAGAUACCCGAGUAGUC
Molecule: ribosomal RNA, 465 nt
Filed under: Vreelandella stevensii
Lineage: Bacteria; Pseudomonadati; Pseudomonadota; Gammaproteobacteria; Oceanospirillales; Halomonadaceae
Description: partial 16S ribosomal RNA
Rfam family: Bacterial small subunit ribosomal RNA
Source: RNAcentral